This 499-nucleotide ribosomal RNA is filed under the name uncultured Lachnospiraceae bacterium. RNAcentral describes it as "partial 16S ribosomal RNA". The record is from RNAcentral. Lineage: Bacteria; Bacillati; Bacillota; Clostridia; Lachnospirales; Lachnospiraceae.
CACGUAGUUAGCCGGGGCUUCUUAGUCAGGUACCGUCAUUUUCUUCCCUGCUGAUAGAGCUUUACAUACCGAAAUACUUCUUCACUCACGCGGCGUCGCUGGAUCAGGGUUCCCCCCAUUGUCCAAUAUUCCCCACUGCUGCCUCCCGUAGGAGUUUGGGCCGUGUCUCAGUCCCAAUGUGGCCGAUCACCCUCUCAGGUCGGCUACUGAUCGUCGCCUUGGUAGGCCUUUACCCCACCAACUAGCUAAUCAGACGCGGGUCCAUCUUGCACCACCUCAGUUUUUACCCCUGUACCAUGCGGUACUGUGGUCUUAUGCGGUAUUAGCAGUCGUUUCCAACUGUUGUCCCCCUGUGCAAGGUAGGUUACCCACGCGUUACUCACCCGUCCGCCAUUCAGUCUGUUAUUCUUCCACCCGAAGGUCUCCAAACAACAGCUUCGUUCGACUUGCAUGUGUUAAGCACGCCGCCAGCGUUCAUCCUGAGCCAGGAUCAAACUCU